Molecule: long non-coding RNA, 473 nt
Filed under: Brassica napus (rape)
Lineage: Eukaryota; Viridiplantae; Streptophyta; Magnoliopsida; Brassicales; Brassicaceae
Description: long non-coding RNA (BNAP_LNC012348)
Source: RNAcentral
AGUCUCUGAUGUAAGCAUAUUGAAUUUCAGUAACUCUGCAUUUAGAAUUUUUUGAUUCUAAAAUUAACGGUUUCAACUUCAAAAUUGUAUUUUUUCAUAUUUUGGAAUAUUAUUCUUUUAAGAUGUUUUGUGCCCUCUCUCCAUAUUUUGAUCUUGAGCCGUCACAAUCUAUGUAUUUCGUUUACCUUUCUGGUGGACGGUGUUUCUCACCAUCACGGAAAAAGACUCACAUCCGUUAUGUUCUUCGUCUCCGCCUUCUUCUCAAGUGAAAUUAUCUAGUAUUUGUUGUAGAUCGGGUUUAUGAGUUCUCAGUUGUGCGAUUGUUUCUCACAGUGUUGUAGGCUGUUCCAGUCAAUAUUGGUGCUCCUCUUCUUCCUUAGAUUUUGGCUUAUGUUAUGAGCUGCAUCUCCUUGGAUUAGGACAUAGUUUAGUCGUCUUUGAUGUAGUCUUCCUUUUCGUUGGUUCGCCGUCGA